CAAAAUUACCAAAACGUUAACCCGUACUAAGGCUAGGGUGGCUGAGUGUAAACACAUGGCUCUGAGUGUAAGCACCUUUUCACAAGAAACUUUCUUGUGUUCAAAUUACCGUCAGUGCGAAAUAGCUAGAAUGCUUUCGUAUUUCAACGUGGCUGCACCUACGGUUAUGAGAACGAUCAAUCAUGUGCGAUACCUGCGUCGACCUGUGACUUGCGGAAAAACACCGGAAAGUAGCCUACCGGAAUGUUACAAGAACAAGAAUGGUUACAUGACAUUCGGCCAUGUGACAUUUGUUGUUUAUAGAUUUUUCGCCCACACAUCGACCUAGGGCAGAUAACAAGUAGGUCGCCAGUUCGUCCCUUGUCAGAAAUACAGCAUACAUACACAUUUGUUUUGUGUUUGUUAAAGUGUUUGGUAAAAAAAAAAAACGUGUUAAACCAGUAAGGAAGGUUACGUAACUAAGAAGGUGAGAGGGACCCUAGGAGGGACGUAAAGGAGUUGAUGAAAUCCUGUUAAGACAGACAAUCAGAUGGUAUGGCCUCUGAAGACCCCCAAGACCAACUGGAUGAGGCUAUUAAAAAGGCAGAACGCCUUGCCGAGGAGCUCAACCAAGAAAAGGACCCACAAGCCCAACUGGAUGAGGCCAUUAAUGAGGCAAAAAGACUGGCUGAGGAGCUCAACCCAGAACGGGAAAAUAAGAAGAAAAAGACAAACAAGCCUCCAGGGAUUAGGUUCAGAUGGAGACAAAGGGAUGAGAGAGGACAGAUUGUUCCUCAAACCAGGAAGGCAACUACAUCCACUUCUGUUGCUCCAAGGGCCAGUACAUCAAGAGCCAGACUAGUGCAACCUUCUGGACCAGUCACUGAGGAGGAAUAAUCAGAGACAAGGACCAGUGGGUUGGAAUCCACUCCAGUUUUAAACAUUGAUGAAGAAGUAGGCAUGUUAAUAUUGUUUUACUUUCAAAAUUGGGGUCCAUCUUGGUGUUACUGAAUUAUACUGCACGACAUCUUUAUUUUGACAGUGAUGCAACAUUUUUAAAUGUGUCUCAAGUCUCCAGAAUUUCGGUUUUGAGAUCAAAUGUUUGAUGAGGUUACAGUACAGAAUGUCACCUUUUAUUUCAGGGAUAUUUUCAGACUUUUCUGAUUUACCGGUUCGAAAUGAAAGCACUUUAUAUGUCUAGUUGCAAGUUUUAUUAGUCGUGUGUACAGGAUACGUAUGUAACACGAUCCAACGAAAUUCUUACUUGCAGGUAGCUUCUCGACAAAGCAAUUGAAAAUGCUGGAGUAUAGAGACGAAUUCAACAUUUUAGCAUCACUGUCCAAAUACUUCUGUAGGGGAGUGCAACAACAAUAUCCUGGCAGAGAUUUUUACUCCACAUUUCCUUUAAUAUGAAGCAAUCUGCCAUUCCACAUUAUGGAAUUAGUCUUAGUUGAAUUAAUUCAAAUCCACUAUUGUAAUGUUUACACAGUGUCGUUCAUUUUUGUAACCACUGUCUGUAAUUGUGGAAGCUGGAAGCAUUUGUCUUUGAGGAGAGUUUACGCUGUAGUCAAAAUACACUGAGUGUACAACAUAUUCCUAAUAUUGAGUUGCACUCCCUUUUGCGCUCAGAACAGCCGCUGGCCCAUGUUGACUCAAAUGCUUCCCACAGUUGUCAAUUUGGCUGGAUGUCCUUUGGGUGGUGGACCAUUCUUAAUACACACGAUUAAAUGUGGAUCGUGAAAAACCCAGCAGCGUUGCAGUUCUUGACACAAACCGUUGGACCUGGCACCUACUACCAUACGCCUUUCAAAGGCACUUAAAUAUUUUGUCUUGCCCAGUCACCCUCUGAAUGGCACACAUACACAAUCCAUGUCUCAAUUGUCUCAAGGCUUAAACAUCCUCCUUUAAUCUGUCUCCUCCCCUUUAUCUACACUCAGGUGGAUUUAACAGGUGACAUCAAUAAGGGAUCAUAGCUUUCACCUGGUCAGUCUGUCAGGGAAAGAUAAUGUUUUGUACUCAGUGUGUUGUUGCUGUUUUAAGAACAUUCAGAAUUUAUUUUCGAUGAUGGGAUCAAGUUCUAUUGUGUGAUAUUCCAAUUUAGACUUUACUCAACAUUUUGGUCUGCCCUGUAAUUGAAUUUACUGUAGAAUCAAAGCUGAGGCUUUUGGCUUGUCACACCAUAGAUUGUGCAUAGAUAUAUUUGCUGUCACCUACUGACAGCCCAAUAUGCGUUUUAAUAGAUUAAUUAUAUCAUAUUCUUACUUUAAUCCUUUUCCCAGUUUUGUGUUUUCAAAAAAGCAAUACUUCAUAGAGAAAUGAACAUCCUCCUAGCUGACUUAGAAGACCCUUGAGUGUUCAAAUCCUGCUGUGCCUGGUGCAUCACACAGUUGGAGUAAGGUUAUGGAAAAGGAGUAUGUGGAGCAUCCCAGUGGACAGCAGCUAAAGAGUCAUCAAGGAAAACAAACGACAAACUUGAUGAAGAGGGACUCGAAGUAGCCGUCUCUCGCCAUGGAAUACUUCUAAGGAGCCUCAACAUGAUGCGUGGAGAGAUAUUUGCGUCCCCACUGUUCUUGCAGAAGGAAUUGUCUGGCAGCAGGAACAUACAAUUCAUGUGUAUGUGAUCUGCAAAUUUUGGCCAUACCUGACCAAAGUUGCCCUUCAUUGUCCAGAGCUCGCCACUCUUCUAAACAUGAAGCCACUUCUUUCUGUCAUGCAUGCAAAGGCACAUCGUUUGAAAUGCGGUAAGAGGUAAGUUUUUCUUUAUUAAACUGUUCAAAGAGAAUUUCCAGCUUCAGUCCUUUACAAGGCUUCCUAUUUAGAUGUUUGUUAUUCACAUAAUUGCAAUAUCAAGUCUAUAUUUUUUUUUAAAUGUAAAUUAAGAUUAAGUGGGGAGGACGGAAUCAGGAAGGAGUUGGCACAACUCUGGGGGAGGAAGUGGAACAAGGGAACAGCUUCUUGUCGAGGGCUGCAAUCUGUUCCAAGCAAAUGUCCAAAGGAGGUAAACAUUUUGUUUAAGGUUAUAUUCAGCUAUGUUAAUACUUAUCUGGAAUAAGGAGUUCUAUUUGGCAUUUCUAGCAAGAACAGACAUGCUAACCAUCCAGGCUAUGGGGUAGAACAGAAGGAAGAAGAACAACCUGCACAGAGUAUUGUCCAGAAGAUACUUGAAGGUGUAUUGUGUGGAUCAAUACAUUUAUUUUAGAGGUAUUAUAUCUAUGGAUUUAAUUAAUUUAAAAACAAUUAGUUAUUCUGUUUAGUUUGUCAUAAUUCUCAGACAACAGCAAAAAUCCAGGAGACCCAGACUCUCAAAGUUUAAGAGUGAUUUGGGUGUUAGGCGAUGAGACUCUGUACAACAGAAGUUCAGAAAUGGGAUAAUACAGGUAAAUGAAUACAAAAUAUAAAUAAUCCUAAAUGUAACUCUCCUGGACUGUCACCUUGACGUAGUGGAGAGGCUUGUGUACUCCAAUGACUCUGAGAGCUAACCCUCAGAGGAUGUAUUCCACCGACACGUGCAAUCAAGCCGGACGGGUAGGAGGCAGACUAAACAUUCCCUGGUUAUCCAGGUUGGGGUUCAUUCACCGCCCACAUAACAAGUCAUUUGUUACAGAAACCUUCACAGGCUCCAUGUUCCUCCAGGAAGUGAGUGCAACUUCUCAGCGUUGGAGAUGCGUUGUUAAUUUAUAGAUGUACUGUAUUUAAGAGGAAACAAAUGAGAACAUGGGACGGUCCGCAGGUACUACAGAGAACAAUUGAAGUCCUGUUUCUUAGCAUCAAACAAAGGAAACAGAACCUCUACCGUCGGACAGCUGACCUACACAAAGAAAGUAGCCUUUGACCGGGUGAUGCUCCUGAGACGGCUGAAGGAGGAAGAGUUAAUUGUCCUAAAGGAAGUCUAGCAGCACUGGGAAAGCCUAAAGAGGGAAUCGGAGAAUGUGCAAGACCUUGCUUCACAUGUGGCACUUGACCUAAGCAGGCAAAGCUGGCAAUUGAAUCAGUCGGAAGCUGGGAGCAGAGGUCUCUUCUCCAUGCUUCAGAGGAGAGUCAGCAGCCUCAGAAGACACCAGGACUCUGUCAAACUGAUAUACAGCAAAGCUAUGGGCCAAGACACCUCCCUCCUAGAAAAUAACUUCAUAGAUGACCUCCUGGAAGAGGACAUCUAUGACAGCAUCCACUACAGCUCUGAUGAUGAAGAAUCUAUCACAGACUGAAGGUGUUCGUUUGGGUGGGUGCAGUUUGCACGGGGUAAAAAGUGAUUCCAUUUGUUUUGCAUAUGUGCUUUAUCUGCCUUCCUAAGGAAAAAUAGUUUGAACAUUUUAUGGAAAAUAAACUUUUAUGUUUAUUCCUUGUUGACAAUGUGAUCAUGUUGCACAGAUUUGAGAGGGGCGCUCGUCUGUUACUGCUUUUGCCCGGUUACAUGACCAGGUCCGAUGCACCCCUUUAAAAUGGCCAAUCUGCAGUUGCUACAUCCACUUUUGGAUUCUUUAAGAAUAUAAUUUAUAAAUGCCUCAUGAAUAUAGUUCACCUGCCGUACCCCAUCAGAUCCCAAAAUAGAUAUUAUUUCUACUUGAAUGUUUGUAAACAAAGUAAAUGUAAACAUACGAGCGUGUGUCAAAACUCAUUCCACGGGUGAGCCGAGUGUCUGCGCUCCUCCCAUAAUUGAUGAAUUAAGGUCACUAAUUAGUAAGGAACUCCCCUCACCUGGUUGGUUAGGUCUUAAUUGAAAGGAAAAAACAAAAACCAGCAGACACUAGACUCUCCAUGGAAUGAGAUUGACACCACUGGACUAUAGCCGCAAAACAUGGUUUAAACUAUGGUUACAUUUCUCCAUCCCCAUCCCUCUGCUUUUUACAGAACCACUUGUGGGGAGAACGAUGUAUUGUUUCACCUGGUGAUUUCCGAUUUAAACAUUGUUAAACUGUAAUGUACUGUGCUUGUUAGUUUAUAUUAGUAUUGUAUUAGUUUAGUUUUAAAAAAUUGAAAAGGUUAUCCUUGUCUUCAAGUAAUCGUUUGCAUCCUGAUGGAGCUACAUUAGUCAUGGGCUUUUAAGUCAAUGAUUCCUUAUGUAUGAGAUGUACAAAUGCUUAACUAGUACUGAGUACUUUGACCAGUUACUUAUUUACUCUCAAGGAGCUUUACUUGUACUUGAGUACAAUAACUGACUCCCAUCAGCUGCAGAUGAAACCGGUUAGUUGAAAAAUGUUGGUUAGAAUCUACAGGCACUCGCAAUGAAUCAUCAAAAGUAUGGACACAGAAUGAUUGAAGUGAUCCAUAUAUAAUAUCUGUGUGGAGAAAAAUUGUGUUUAUAAAUUAAGGACCAUGACAAGAAAACCUGCUGAUGAAAAGCAGAAAGUUUCACUGGAACUUUGUCAAUAUUAUAAUUGCAAAACAACAUGAAGUUAAGGCCACCAAAAGUAGAGAAGACAUGAUGAGGAAUACAAUUCCAGAUAGAAGUGGGUCUUAGAAAUUGUUUUAUCCAAUUGAUGUUUAAAGUAGUCAAGUGUUCAUUCCAACAGUGUUCCUAAUGUAAUGGGUACGGUUUCUCCAAAGAAAGUUGAAAAGCAUCUGGUCUAUCUCCUUGCUUAUUUUACUGUCAAGAUAUAGAGCGCCAUAUGUUAGUCUAGAGAUACCUUCGGCCUUGGUUAUUAGGACUCUACCUUUUAAAGAUAAGUCCCUCUGUAGCCAUUGAUUUAGCUUCUUCUGUGUUUUUUUAAUAAGAGGGUUAAUUUUGUAAGCCUCUAGACUUCUGAUCUUUUGUAAUGGCUAUGCCUAAAUAUGUAAGUUCUUCUUUUACUGGAAUACCAUAAUAUGAAGGUGUCACACAAUCUUUGACAGCUAUGAGUUCACAUUUAUUAAUGUUAAGAUAUAGACCAGACGCUUUGGAAAAGGAUUGUAUCACAUUGAUCGAUAUGGGAAUUUGGUUAGCGUCAUUCAGAAAAAGUGUAGAAUCUGCCAGCUGGCUUAUAAUAAUUUCUUUACCAGCUAUGGAAAUAUCUUGUACAGGACUAUUAUUUAAAGAAUUUGCAAGAAGUUGGGUGAUUAAUAAAACGGGUACGGAGAGAUAGGCAA
Oncorhynchus nerka (sockeye salmon) is the source of this 6042-nucleotide long non-coding RNA. RefSeq lists it as uncharacterized. NCBI's taxonomy places the organism in Eukaryota, Metazoa, Chordata, Actinopteri, Salmoniformes, Salmonidae. The record is from RefSeq and is a predicted model, not a curated record. The transcript is spliced from 8 exons.